AUGCUGGGGACCCUCUGCACUCUCAUCACUGCUCUCACAUGUGUGAGUGGUGUGACGGUGGUGACACAGAAGCCUGUUGUAGCCGUGACGACAGGGGAGACAGUCUCCAUAGACUGUAACCUCGGGACUGUUACUGACCGUGCUGCUUUCUGGUAUAAACAGAUUCCAGGAGGAGUUCCUCAGUUUGUAUUAUAUUAUCAUCACAGCCACAGCUCUCCAACAUAUGGCACUGGUUUCUCAUCUCCAAAGUUCACAUCCACUCAUCAGUCAACUUCAGAUUAUCGUUUGACCAUAAAGAACAUCGAGGAGGGAGACUCAGCCGUCUAUUACUGUAACACAUGGGACACCUCUGGAAAUGUAUCACAGUGAUUUACACUGUGACAAAAACCUCUUCACUGAGUACUUCUGCUUUUUGAGACGCUGACACAUUUCAAGUGAAACCAUCAGUCAAUUUCUGUAACUUAUAUUUCUUGUCUUUUAAAACCUCUAAACUCCAUUUAUUUAAUUGUGACACAAAGAUUUUGUUUGUAGUUAUUCAUAGUUUGCCAUGUGUACACACUUUAAAACAAAACUGUUCUUUAAUCAAAAGAACGUGCGUGACGUCA
Non-coding RNA from Gasterosteus aculeatus aculeatus (three-spined stickleback), 605 nucleotides. The record is from the annotation of a RefSeq genome assembly. NCBI's taxonomy places the organism in Eukaryota, Metazoa, Chordata, Actinopteri, Perciformes, Gasterosteidae.